RNAcentral lists this ribosomal RNA (1442 nucleotides) under uncultured organism. RNAcentral describes it as "16S ribosomal RNA". It matches the Rfam family "Bacterial small subunit ribosomal RNA". The record is from RNAcentral.
GGACGAACGCUGGCGGCGUGCUUAACACAUGCAAGUCGAACGGAAAGGCCCUGCUUUUGUGGGGUGCUCGAGUGGCGAACGGGUGAGUAACACGUGAGUAACCUGCCCUUGACUUUGGGAUAACUUCAGGAAACUGGGGCUAAUACCGGAUAGGAGCUCCUGCUGCAUGGUGGGGGUUGGAAAGUUUCGGCGGUUGGGGAUGGACUCGCGGCUUAUCAGCUUGUUGGUGGGGUAGUGGCUUACCAAGGCUUUGACGGGUAGCCGGCCUGAGAGGGUGACCGGCCACAUUGGGACUGAGAUACGGCCCAGACUCCUACGGGAGGCAGCAGUGGGGAAUAUUGCACAAUGGGCGGAAGCCUGAUGCAGCAACGCCGCGUGCGGGAUGACGGCCUUCGGGUUGUAAACCGCUUUCGCCUGUGACGAAGCGUGAGUGACGGUAAUGGGUAAAGAAGCACCGGCUAACUACGUGCCAGCAGCCGCGGUGAUACGUAGGGUGCGAGCGUUGUCCGGAUUUAUUGGGCGUAAAGGGCUCGUAGGUGGUUGAUCGCGUCGGAAGUGUAAUCUUGGGGCUUAACCCUGAGCGUGCUUUCGAUACGGGUUGACUUGAGGAAGGUAGGGGAGAAUGGAAUUCCUGGUGGAGCGGUGGAAUGCGCAGAUAUCAGGAGGAACACCAGUGGCGAAGGCGGUUCUCUGGGCCUUUCCUGACGCUGAGGAGCGAAAGCGUGGGGAGCGAACAGGCUUAGAUACCCUGGUAGUCCACGCUGUAAACGGUGGGUACUAGGUGUGGGGUCCAUUCCACGGGUUCCGUGCCGUAGCUAACGCUUUAAGUACCCCGCCUGGGGAGUACGGCCGCAAGGCUAAAACUCAAAGGAAUUGACGGGGCCCCGCACAAGCGGCGGAGCAUGCGGAUUAAUUCGAUGCAACGCGUAGAACCUUACCUGGGUUUGACAUGGAUCGGGAGUGCUCAGAGAUGGGUGUGCCUCUUUUGGGGUCGGUUCACAGGUGGUGCAUGGCUGUCGUCAGCUCGUGUCGUGAGAUGUUGGGUUAAGUCCCGCAACGAGCGCAACCCUUGUUCACUGUUGCCAGCACGUUAUGGUGGGGACUCAGUGGAGACCGCCGGGGUCAACUCGGAGGAAGGUGGGGAUGACGUCAAGUCAUCAUGCCCCUUAUGUCCAGGGCUUCACGCAUGCUACAAUGGCUGGUACAGAGAGUGGCGAGCCUGUGAGGGUGAGCGAAUCUCGGAAAGCCGGUCUCAGUUCGGAUUGGAGUCUGCAACUCGACCUCAUGAAGUCGGAGUCGCUAGUAAUCGCAGAUCAGCAACGCUGCGGUGAAUACGUUCCCGGGGCUUGUACACACCGCCCGUCAAGUCAUGAAAGUUGGUAACACCCGAAGCCGGUGGCCUAACCGUUGUGGGGGAGCCGUCGAAGGUGGGACUGGUGAUU